This 465-nucleotide ribosomal RNA is filed under the name uncultured bacterium. RNAcentral describes it as "partial 16S ribosomal RNA". It matches the Rfam family "Bacterial small subunit ribosomal RNA", at positions 28 to 507 of the family's 1533-position model. The record is from RNAcentral.
GACGAACGCUGGCGGCGUGCUUAACACAUGCAAGUCGAACGGAAAGGCCCUGCUUGCAGGGUACUCGAGUGGCGAACGGGUGAGUAACACGUGGGUGAUCUGCCCUGCACUUCGGGAUAAGCCUGGGAAACUGGGUCUAAUACCGGAUAGGAGCCAUUUUUAGUGUGAUGGUUGGAAAGUUUUUUCGGUGUAGGAUGAGCUCGCGGCCUAUCAGCUUGUUGGUGGGGUAAUGGCCUACCAAGGCGGCGACGGGUAGCCGGCCUGAGAGGGUGGACGGCCACAGUGGGACUGAGAUACGGCCCAGACUCCUACGGGAGGCAGCAGUGGGGAAUAUUGCACAAUGGGCGCAGGCCUGAUGCAGCGACGCCGCGUGGGGGAGGACGGCCUUCGGGUUGUAAACUCCUUUCGCUAGGGACGAAGCUUUUUGUGACGGUACCUAGAUAAGAAGCACCGGCUAACUACGUG